RNAcentral lists this small RNA (932 nucleotides) under Hebeloma sp. 1 UK-2011. RNAcentral describes it as "LSU rRNA". It matches the Rfam family "Eukaryotic large subunit ribosomal RNA", at positions 44 to 961 of the family's 3401-position model. The record is from RNAcentral. Lineage: Eukaryota; Fungi; Basidiomycota; Agaricomycetes; Agaricales; Hymenogastraceae.
CAAUAAGCGGAGGAAAAGAAACUAACAAGGAUUCCCCUAGUAACUGCGAGUGAAGCGGGAAAAGCUCAAAUUUAAAAUCUGGCGGUCUCCGGCCGUCCGAGUUGUAAUCUAGAGAAGUGUUAUCCGCGCUGGACCGUGUACAAGUCUCCUGGAAUGGAGCGUCAUAGAGGGUGAGAAUCCCGUCUUUGACACGGACUGCCAGGGCUUUGUGAUGCGCUCUCAAAGAGUCGAGUUGUUUGGGAAUGCAGCUCAAAAUGGGUGGUAAAUUCCAUCUAAAGCUAAAUAUUGGCGAGAGACCGAUAGCGAACAAGUACCGUGAGGGAAAGAUGAAAAGAACUUUGGAAAGAGAGUUAAACAGUACGUGAAAUUGCUGAAAGGGAAACGCUUGAAGUCAGUCGCGUUGGCCGGGGAUCAACCUUGCUUUUGCUGGGCGUACUUUCCGGUUGACGGGUCAGCAUCAAUUUUGACCGUUGGAUAAAGUCUAGGGGAAUGUGGCAUCUUCGGAUGUGUUAUAGCCCUUGGUCGCAUACAACGGUUGGGAUUGAGGAACUCAGCACGCCGCAAGGCCGGGUACUUGUACCACGUUCGUGCUUAGGAUGCUGGCAUAAUGGCUUUAAUCGACCCGUCUUGAAACACGGACCAAGGAGUCUAACAUGCCUGCGAGUGUUUGGGUGGAAAACUCGGACGCGUAAUGAAAGUGAAAGUUGAGAUCCCUGUCGCGGGGAGCAUCGACGCCCGGACCAGACCUUUUGUGACGGAUCCGCGGUAGAGCAUGUAUGUUGGGACCCGAAAGAUGGUGAACUAUGCCUGAAUAGGGUGAAGCCAGAGGAAACUCUGGUGGAGGCUCGUAGCGAUUCUGACGUGCAAAUCGAUCGUCAAAUUUGGGUAUAGGGGCGAAAGACUAAUCGAACCAUCUAGUAGCUGGUUCCUGC